CACUUCUUGCCUUUGGUGGUAUUGUAGCCAAUGAGGUUUAUCCGAGGUGUGAUUAUUGCUAAUUGAAAACUUCCCAACACUCUGCCAUGACGACUUGCAAUAUAGUAGGCAUUGGCAAAAAAAAAAAAAA
This 130-nucleotide small nuclear RNA is filed under the name Pan paniscus (pygmy chimpanzee). Its description in RNAcentral is "U4 spliceosomal RNA (ENSPPAG00000021969.1)". It matches the Rfam family "U4 spliceosomal RNA". Rfam says of the family: U4 small nuclear RNA (U4 snRNA) is a component of the major U2-dependent spliceosome. The structure of U4 snRNA from yeast and human has been reported. The record is from Rfam by way of RNAcentral. Lineage: Eukaryota; Metazoa; Chordata; Mammalia; Primates; Hominidae.